This 378-nucleotide ribosomal RNA is filed under the name uncultured bacterium. RNAcentral's name for it is "bacterial SSU rRNA". It matches the Rfam family "Bacterial small subunit ribosomal RNA", at positions 28 to 400 of the family's 1533-position model. The record is from RNAcentral.
GACGAACGCUGGCGGCGUGCUUAACACAUGCAAGUGGAGCGACGAACCAGGCUUCGGCCUGGGGCAAAGCCGCGAACGGGUGAGUAACACGUGGGUAACCUGCCCGACGACCGGGACAACUCGAGGAAACUCGGGCUAAUACCGGAUGUGCUCGCCCCGCACCAGCGAGGUGAGGAAAGGAAGCUUCGGCCUCCGCAUCGGGAUGGGCCCGCGGCCCAUUAGCUUGUUGGUGAGGAACGGCUCACCAAGGCUUCGAUGGGUAGCUGGUCUGAGAGGACGAUCAGCCACACUGGGACUGAGACACGGCCCAGACUCCUACGGGAGGCAGCAGGUGGGGAAUCUUGCGCAAUGCGCGAAAGCGUGACGCAGCAACGCCGC